Long non-coding RNA from Dalotia coriaria, 775 nucleotides. RefSeq lists it as uncharacterized. The transcript has 2 exons. The record is from RefSeq and is a predicted model, not a curated record. NCBI's taxonomy places the organism in Eukaryota, Metazoa, Arthropoda, Insecta, Coleoptera, Staphylinidae.
GUUCAUCAUCGCUGAGGCGUGUCACCGGUUGACAACAAUCCGGAAAUAAUGAGACUAGUUUUUCCAUUAAACUAACAAUCUAAACACAACAAUAAAAAAGUUUUUUGUUCAAAUUUUGAUAGAACGCAAAAACCAUAAAAUUCUUCAUUCAGGACCUGCAAAUUCCACAAGCAAACAAUUGUGAACUUCAAAUUCAAUUACACAGGUCCUAAACAAAGAAUUAGUGAAAAAAAUAUCAAUUUAGUCAAAUUUUCAAGUUUUCUUGUGAUAAAUCAAAUUAUCUCUCUUUAAAAAUAAAAUAUUUACUUCAGACAUGUUCGGCCGAUUGAUAGCGGUGCCAUCCCAACACCUGACGAUCAAAUCCUCGAUGACCGCCGGGCAGUCAAGGAUUAAUGGCGGCCGUUUGCCCUUGUACACCGACCACAUGAUCUGCAACGCGUUGAGCCCAUUGUAGAACGGCUUUUUACGCGUGAGCACCUCCCAGAAUAUGAUGCCCCACGAGUAUACAUCGCACUUCUCCGUAUAGUUGUUAGUGGAGAACACCUCCGGAGCCAUCCACGCCGCUGAACCCUUCUGAUUCGUCAUGUACGUCGAUUUGUCUGCCGCCGUACCAAAAUCGCAAAUCUUCAGUUGCACGCCGCUGUUAACGAGCAGGAGAUUCGGCGGCUUCAAAUCGCGAUGUAUCAGUGGUUUCGGUUUCAUAUUGUGCAGGUAAUUCACGCCCUACAAGAAGAAGUGCUGUACUAUUCUGUGUAUAAAAAGUUGAUUAAUGGUA